GACCUUGCAGCAGCGAGUGCGAGGCUCUAUAUCCAUCUUGUUCGGCUUCGGUCGGGCUAUGGACAUAAACGCGCUCGUAAUAAGCGGAUCGGACCCGGGGGCGGUACCCGGCGGCUCCACCAUAUAACCCUUCAUUGGGGGUAUUUGGGGCCGAAACAGGAUCGACGAACGUCUAAAGGGGUUUGCUUUGUCCCGGUGAGCGACCACCGUUAUCGGUGCAUAAUGUACAGUUGCCAAUGACAACCGUGCUCCGGUGGCCGUUGCUGCGUAAGCAGUAACCAAACCGAAACCUUAAGCCCUGACGCCUAGCAGCUUCAGGCGGGGCCCGCAGGAGCCUGGCAACAGAAUCCUGCACU
RNAcentral lists this transfer-messenger RNA (356 nucleotides) under Paracoccus onubensis. It matches the Rfam family "Alphaproteobacteria transfer-messenger RNA". Rfam says of the family: Bacterial tmRNA, also known as 10Sa RNA or SsrA, is named for its dual tRNA and mRNA-like properties. The record is from RNAcentral. Lineage: Bacteria; Pseudomonadati; Pseudomonadota; Alphaproteobacteria; Rhodobacterales; Paracoccaceae.